Molecule: transfer RNA, 57 nt
Filed under: Ovis aries (sheep)
Lineage: Eukaryota; Metazoa; Chordata; Mammalia; Artiodactyla; Bovidae
Rfam family: tRNA
About the family: Transfer RNA (tRNA) molecules are approximately 80 nucleotides in length. Their secondary structure includes four short double-helical elements and three loops (D, anti-codon, and T loops). Further hydrogen bonds mediate the characteristic L-shaped molecular structure. tRNAs have two regions of fundamental functional importance: the anti-codon, which is responsible for specific mRNA codon recognition, and the 3' end, to which the tRNAs corresponding amino acid is attached (by aminoacyl-tRNA synthetases). tRNAs cope with the degeneracy of the genetic code in two manners: having more than one tRNA (with a specific anti-codon) for a particular amino acid; and 'wobble' base-pairing, i.e. permitting non-standard base-pairing at the 3rd anti-codon position.
Source: Rfam by way of RNAcentral
UGGCUCAGAGGUUAAAGCGUCUGCCUGCAAUGUGGAAGACCCGGGUUCAAUCCCUGG